RNAcentral lists this unclassified non-coding RNA (367 nucleotides) under uncultured fungus. RNAcentral's name for it is "sequence contains ITS1". The record is from RNAcentral. Lineage: Eukaryota; Fungi.
UUAAAUAUUAUAUGGUACUCAGACGUUAUUAACAGAAGAGUUUAGGUCCUCUGGCGGGCGCGGUCAGCCGGAGCCAACGCCUUGCGGCGGCCCGCCAAAGCAACAAAGAAGGUAGACACGGGUUUAAAUCACGACUCCUUAAGGCGGUAUUCCUACCCACCAUCGCAAGCUUACAAAUAGGUCGGACUUGUUGACGGGUGCCGCGCAAGCGCACGGCUGUCCCGGGAGCCCGUAAGCCCCUCCUUCCCUAUAAGCAGAAAUCCGGCCUCCUAGGCUACCCGGAUCCAAAUGCGAGGAAUCUGUCCUACCCGACGAACGGGCAUGGGACGACUUAGUAAUGAUCCUUCCGCAGGUUCACCUACGGAAA